GGGGAUUUAGCUUAGCGGCAUAAGUGCCUGCCUUGCAAGCAUGUGGUCGUGAGUUCAAUCCCUG
Molecule: transfer RNA, 64 nt
Filed under: Cavia porcellus (domestic guinea pig)
Lineage: Eukaryota; Metazoa; Chordata; Mammalia; Rodentia; Caviidae
Rfam family: tRNA
About the family: Transfer RNA (tRNA) molecules are approximately 80 nucleotides in length. Their secondary structure includes four short double-helical elements and three loops (D, anti-codon, and T loops).
Source: Rfam by way of RNAcentral